Molecule: ribosomal RNA, 257 nt
Filed under: uncultured bacterium
Lineage: Bacteria
Description: partial 16S ribosomal RNA
Rfam family: Bacterial small subunit ribosomal RNA
Source: RNAcentral
UACGUAGGGUGCAAGCGUUAAUCGGAAUUACUGGGCGUAAAGCGUGCGCAGGCGGUUAUGUAAGACAGGUGUGAAAUCCCCGGGCUUAACCUGGGAAUUGCAUUUGUGACUGCAUGGCUAGAGUGUGUCAGAGGGGGGGUAGAAUUCCACGUGUAGCAGUGAAAUGCGUAGAUAUGUGGAGGAAUACCGAUGGCGAAGGCAGCCCCCCUGGGCCAAUACUGACGCUCAUGCACGAAAAGCGUGGGGGAGCAAACAGG